UGAUCUCUCUCUGUCAAAUAAAUAAAUAAAAAUCUUAAAAAAAAAAAAAAGGCAACAUGGUUACAACCUCAGAGAUACGUAAAAUGGGAAAUAAUAAUAUAAAUUAAUUUUAACCGUUAGUUAUAAGGUCAUCCUCCUAGCUUUCACAUCAAGUCUUUGGUCAAGUACAAUAUACCCCCCAGUAUUUGGCGGAAUAGCUCUAUAAAAUACCUAAUUCUCUUGCUUUGUCUCAAACAACAUCAAGUAUUAUAGGCUUUUAUCUUUGAGUUUUACUUUAAAAUUCUUAACCGAUUUUUUUAUAAUGGGAAUUUUCAAAAGCUGCUCAACUUUUCACUGUCAUUUUCUUUCAUUCUGGUAAGGCAGGCAAACUGGCUACUUGACAUCGAAGUUUCUUUCCCCAUAUUCGUUUCCAGGCUUCAAGUCCAUUAGCUCAGUCAAACCACACUUAGGAGAAAAGACUUUUCUUGCUUUACCUUCUUCAUUUUCCUUCACUCCCCAUUGCCCAGCACCACAGCACCUCCGAAAUCAAGUGCCAGGAGUUGCCACUCCACGGAGAGUUUUAGAUGCAUCACUCCAUGGCUAGCAGCAACUCAGAAGGAUGAAGAAGUCAGUGGAAAUAUAAAGUGUAAAGCAAUUUCAUUCCUUAAAAAACUACAAGAUAGAACAAAGCACACACAUCCUUUGCCAGCUGCCUUUGGAAACCGGCUCUGUUUGCUCAUGCGCAGAAAAAAGCCAAGCCCCGGGAUGGUAUUGACAAGAACAAGAUGAAUGACCCCCUGGAGACCAUAGGGCCCAGGUUGAACUCAGUGCUCUGGGAGAGAUCUUAUUCUGUUCUCCCUCCUUCUUGAGGAGAACUUCCGUAUUUGGGUGAAUAUGUGCUCGGAGCAUAACCGUUGGCACAUCUCAACGACGUAGCUUUGUUGUGCUGCUUCUCCAGGCGCCACCCGUAGCUGUUCUGUCUCCCCAAAGAACAUCCCGAGUGCCGGGCCUGUCCGCAGAGAAAAGCCCCAGCCGGGAAAGGUGCUGAAGCUGCGAGGUAGUCAACGCUGCAUGUACAGACGGGUUUGUGAUUGCUCGCUUGCUCCGUGGGUGUGGAGGGGACAGGACAGGACGCUGUUUGUGACAGUUUCCAUACUUAUCUAAGCAUCCAUACACUUCCUGCUCUUCCCUCCUCUUCCUGUUGGGACAUUUUUGUACGCGCCCAAUGCCAUAAGAUUCCAAAGGAAAUGCGAGUACUUCACGAUGAUCUCAAUCAGCAUCCAACUGAAGGCCAAGUUUUCUGUCACAAAAUCGAUCGUAUCAUAAAGACUCACCAUACUCCUUAAAAAAACCCACGCGCAAUCUGAUCACUUCUACAGUGCCGUGGGUCUGUAGCCGCACGCUCGUCUCAUGUAGGCAAAACCACACUGCCGCCUCUCACGCAGACACUAAGUUGUUUAAUUCUCUAGAAACAUUUUUUAUGGAAAAAUCAAGCACAUAUAGCUACUCCACGCUCACACACAUUAGUAAUCCAGCUGCUGGUGAUGGAGCUCCUCUUCCUGUGUCAUUUGGCCUUGAAAUGCUAAUGCAUCGCCUUCUGGACAAGUUCCUCGGAGAAGCGCCCUCUCUCUGUUCAGUUCCUUUCCCCCACCCUCUCGCUGCCUGAGGGGAAGUCAGGGAGAGAGGGAACCGAGGAGCCCACCUCCCUCGUUGCCUGAAUGGUGUAAUUGGAUGGAGACCCACCUUGGGGGCAGGAGGCGGAAGCGUCCAGGUGGCCCAGGAAUAAUCCACUGUAAUUUUCAUUCUCUGGGCUUGCUAAUGGGGGUAUAAAAAUAUUUUGGGUGCUGGAGGGCAAGAAAGAAAGAAAAAGUCGUUUCUAAAAAAAAAAUAAUAAUAAACCUUCUUUAUUCACAACCUGACUCCCAUCCAGUGAAAUCGAUCACUUUUGUAAAACUCCUCCCUCUCUGGUCGGCAAAUUCAAACCUGGCCGAGGGUUAUUAUAGCCCCUGCUUUGUGUCCAAGGAUCUGUAUGUGCAAUUUCUCUUCAGCGUUAAUUUUUUCUAUCUGUAUUUGAACGUGUUUCUUCAAAUGCGGGAAGCACAAGAUUCUUUUCCAUGCAGGGACCAGAAAAAAGGAGUAAGUCGGGCUCAUCUUGUAGAUGAUCCUUAGCGCUCAACACCUAAACCCAAGGAGGGGAAGGGGCCUCCCCUGCAAGGCUUGUAGUUUCAGAAAAAUACUUCUGGGGUUUGAUGGGGAGAUGACGAAAUGCACAAAGCAGCACCUAAAACGAGGGAAGGGAAACUUCUUCCUGGGCCGGCAGCACUGGGGCUGCUGCGGGUGUCACGGCAAAACCUGAGUGCGCUCCAGGCUUCAAAUUCUGUGUUAACUUGAGUGAACACCCACUUCGUUGUCUGCCGGAUGGUCAGGUGUUGGUAGUAACUUUUUCUGGGGAGGUGGAGCAGCUGCCACACAGAGAUGGAAGGCGACCUGAUGGUCAGAGACCCCAGUUCUAGUCCAUUUGCCUCUGCAGAGCUGUGACCUUGGGCACAUCACUUCCCAGCCUUUUACUUUCCUUACCUUUAUGGCACAUGAAUUCAACUAUCUUUUCUAGAACUUCUUCAAGGUUAUGUUCUGUCGUAACAGCAACCGAGCCCAACAAGAAUGCUGUCAUUGUUACGUGGCCAAUGGAUCAUCAAAUGUGCACUAAAGAAUGGAUCCCAGUGGCACCUUAAGCAUGACUUCCAUAUUAUUUUCCCGGGUAGCCUCUAAGAAUAUCCUGAAACAGAUCCUUAAUAACAAACCAAUAAAUCCGCAUAUAACAGAGGAAAUACUGUAUUAUAUGAACAAACUAGAUUCAAACAAACCAGACCAGGUUUUUAUCUUAACAAGGAAAACAACCGUUUGUUGAAUACCUACUGUGCUAGACACUGUGUUACACCCUCUUCAUCCAUUUCCUUUUUAAUCUUCCAAACAAGCCUGUGAAAUUAUUACCAUACCCAUUUCACAGAUGAGGAAAGUAAGUCUCAGAGGAAUAAAAGUAAAUUUACUCAUCACUCUGCUCCGAUUCAAAGUCAUGGUGCUCUGCCCCCUUACUAAUAUUUUUAGACACCACACUCUUGCCCACUCACUAGGAAAUCACAAAAUGAAUAAUAGCAGUAAAAAUAAUACAAAUAAUCUCUUUCUCGAAUGUAGGAACUUUGGUUCAAUUAUAGGUCUUUUCUUGUGCUCAGAUGAGGGCCUACACAAAGGGGGUCUUGUCACUAAACAGUUGUUAAAUGAAAAGUAACCACCCCUUGCCAACAAGUUUCGUGUCUUCUUGGUAUUACAGUCUCUAGAACAACACUGUCCAGUAGAAUUUUCUGUGGUGAUAGAAUGGUUCUGUAUCAGGCACCUGGGUGGCUCAGUCCGUUAAGCGGCUGCCUUCAGCCCAGGUCAUGAUCCUGGGGUCCUGGGAUCGAACCCCCAUUGGGAUCCUUGCUCAGCCUGUUUCUCCCUCUCCCUUUGCCUGCCACUCCCCCUGCUUGUGCUCUCUCUAUAUAUAAAAUAAAUAAAAUCUUUAAAGAAAAGAAUUGUUCCUUACCUAUAUUGUCCCAGUUGGUAACCUUGUGUGGCUACUGAGCACUGCAUUGUGGCUAGUGUGGCUAAGGAACUAGACCACCUUUUAUUUCAUUUUAAUGAAUUUAAUUUUAAGUAGCCACAUGUGACUCAUGGUCUCCGUAUUGGACAGUAGGAGUCCAGGGUAAAAUGCUCACCGUAUAGUAAGAAUCUGGGUUUACCAGUGAGAAUACAGAGGUGCUUUGAAGGUGUAGACCCAUGAUUCAAUCUUGAGUUUUUCCAAUAUGACCCAAACUCACACCUUGUCCAGAAGUUUCCUGUACGAUAUUAGGGGAGAAAAAAAAAAAAAGAACCAGGAAUCUUGGGCCCCCAAGAUGUGAAUUAAUCAUUCCAGGAUUUGGAAUGGCUUCACAUGGAGAACUUGAUUGUCCUUUGGAAAUGGGACUCCAUUGUUUUUGAUGAAAGUUCAGAUAAGAAACUCAGCAAAAUGGAAUUUGCAGUGGGACCCUGGUGCUUGGGCUCUGCCAUUGCAGGGGGUCACAGAGUUGGUUCACAUCCAGUUUAUCUGAGUUGCAAAGAGAAAGCAAUAGCAACAGGCCUGCAGUGUGUUAUCAUCACACGCAAAGACGGGGGCAUAACUGGUGGGGGGCAUUCCAGCAGUUGCUAUAAAAUAGUAUUUCUCAAACUUUUUCAUUGACUUCUCCCUAAGAUGACCUUUCAGACAUUUCUUCCUAAACGUCCUCACCUGAGAAGUUUUAAUAUCACAGAAAUACUGUUUCUCAAUUUACACACUAUAUGUUUAGUGCUUUAAACAUAAAAAUAAUGUGACUUUUGCUCCCCAAGAACCAAUUUUCUUGUUGGGGGGAGGGAUGAUAUCACCUUGGCUGAGAAAGUUCUAGAAUGAAUGAACUCUUCUCGACUCCGAAAAGAGUCCAAAUGGAAAAAGCCUGGGCUCCAGUUCAGGCAGGCCCUCAUUUUAGUCCUACUCUUCCUCUUAGGCAAAUCAGUUAAUCUUCUUAAGCCUCUGUUUUGCUGCUCUGUAAAACGGUGAUAAAGAUAUUCUCUCCCUCCUUGAGCUGUUGGGAGCACUGCAUGAGGUAAUGAACAUUCAUUAAGAAUUUGUGGCAUUCAGGGGCACCUGGGUGGCUCAGUGGGUUAAGCCUCUGCCUUCAGCUCAGGUCAUGAUCUUGGGGUCCUGGAUCCAGCCCCACAUCAGGCUCUUUGCUCAGCAGGGAGCCCGCUUCCCCCCCACCCUGCCUGCCUCUCUGCCUACUUGUGAUCUCUGUCAAAUAAAUAAAAUCUUAAAAAAAUAAUAAUUUGUGAUUUGUGGCAUUCAGGAGGCACUCUCUAAAUGUUAGCCAGUUUCACUAUUUUUAUUAACACAGGAACAUUUUGGCAGUGCAUCCAGUUUUCACGUCUCUGUUUUCUGGAGGUUGCCGUCUUGGAUUUUUAAGAAGGGGCUUUCUACUGUCGGAACAGCCACUUCUUCCGAGGUGAAGUUUCUUAAGAAAUCUUACAGGAUGUCUUCCUCCUCCAGCUCCAGGCAUAUCUUCCGAACACUCAUGAAGGCCCUUCAGACCUGAUGAGGCUGAGAUCACAGACAGCAUUUGCCUGAUAUAAAAUAUGCACAGUAACACGGUCUCAAUUAGAGAAAUUGGAUAUUAAUUUUGGUGCUGCAGCUUUAGCUACACACAUACAUCCGUACACAGAAACAGACACUGUCUUCUGGGGGGUCGCCAUCAGAGAACGUCCGUGUCCGUGACCUCUGCUCAGCCGAGACAGCACCUGAGCCCUGACCUCCUUCAUGAGCACCUGGAGGGUCCGAAGGUGAGUCUCCAGCGUGUGUACUUAGUAAUCAUCCUGAGGUGGAACCCCACCCCUGGGAUGGAGUGGGGGGCUCAGCAAUCUGGCAUUGUCCCCAUCGGUACCCGUGUCUGCCGGGACAAAGAUGGAGGAGAUCAGCAGGUGCAGUAGGAAGGAGGGCACCUUAGCAAAUGCGCAAGGGAGACUCUUCCUAAACGAGGCUCAGUCCCGUGUGGGGGUGUUGGAAGCACAGAGGGUUUCGACAAGAAUAUGUUCUGCAGGGCCCCGUGGGGGACAGAUGGGAAGAAGGGCGGGGAGGGGCCACUGUGAGAGGAGAUGAAGAGCCUGUGCACAGGCUCAGCCUUGGGCGUGUGCAGAGGCUGAAGACAAAGGGACCCCUGGAGUGUGGCCCUUAUUGUCAGGGCUGCAGCUCCGGCCAGAGACAUGACUUUGUUAGUCCGACAAACCGCAGACCCCUUCUCUGAGAACCUCUCCACACCGCACAGUGGGCCGCCUUCGCUCGUUUGACUGCCUGAUUCUGCCCCCUUGGCCUUAGCCAGGGGUCUCUCCCAAUUCGCUUCUCUCUCUCCCAAGAAUUUGGAAUUGGAAUUAGAGGUGCCCACUCUCUGCAGCUCCCUCGACCCAGCGGAAGCAACUCGGGGAGCCAGAAUUGAUGUUAGGCAGGUGAGGGGGCCUUCGUGAGCCAAGUACGCAGCUGAUACAGAGAAAGAAAUGAAAAGAACCGGAAAAAACCCCAGCAUCUGCUCUUGGCCCUCCCUGGGACCUGACUGCACUUCUGGCCCUUGAGGUCCAUUCAUCUGCAGAAUUCGUUCCUCUUGCUUUUUGCUGGAAGUCGUGUGGGUCACGAUCUCUGUACCAGUGAAACACUGAAAUAGUCAUAGAGACUGAGGAGACCUUAGAUGUCAUUGGCAACUCUGGAACGUGGGCCGAGGGAGGGGACCUGGACGCAGGGGACCCCCAGCACGCAGGAGGCUUCUGCACCCCUACCCUUCCUAUAGAGAAGGUAGGGGACACAGUGAUUGUGCGUUGGAUGUGACAACAGAGCAGAAACCUGCCAGAAAACCGCUCCCAGGAGCACCGCCAGCGAGCAGCAGUCCUGAUGUCGUAGGCUCCGGGGGCUGCCAUGACAAAGGACCACAGAAAUCUUGUUUCUCACUGUUCUGGAGGGCAGAAGUCCAAAGUUGUGGUGUCAGCAGGGCUAUGCCCCCUCAGGUCUUCUAACCGAGCACCUCUUCUCUGCCUUGCCCCCAUCCCCGUGUGACCUCCUCCUCUUCUCUCUGUCCCUCCUCCGAGUGUCUCUUGUGAGGACACCUGUCACGGGAUGUAGGGCCCACCCUGGGAAACCAUAAUCUCAUCUCAAGAUCCUUAAUUUAACCACAUCUGCAAAGCCCCUUUUCCCAAAUAAGGUCACAUUCGCAGCCUCCUGGGGUUGGGAUGUGAACCUCUUUUUCGGGGGGCACACACGGGUUUUGGGGGUGCCGUUGGUCAGCACUGCCGAUGGUAAAGGGCAGAGGGAAUGUUCAUCGUGCUUCGUGGAAUUCCCGCAUCUUUCCUGUCACUUCCUGGUGAAUGUUUGUUGUUUUUCUUCUAAUUAAACUUUCUCGUGCUACAUAA
Molecule: long non-coding RNA, 6972 nt
Organism: Lutra lutra (Eurasian river otter)
Lineage: Eukaryota; Metazoa; Chordata; Mammalia; Carnivora; Mustelidae
Exons: 6
Source: RefSeq, a predicted model, not a curated record